GACGGAGGAUGCAAGUGUUAUCCGGAAUCACUGGGCGUAAAGCGUCUGUAGGUGGUCAAAUAAGUCAACUGUUAAAUCUUAAGGCUCAACCUUGAAAUCGCAGUCGAAACUAUUAGACUAGAGUAUAGUAGGGGUAAAGGGAAUUUCCAGUGGAGCGGUGAAAUGCGUAGAGAUUGGAAAGAACACCAAUAGCGAAGGCACUUUACUGGGCUAUUACUAACACUCAGAGACGAAAGCUAGGGGAGCAAAUGGG
This 253-nucleotide ribosomal RNA is filed under the name uncultured bacterium. RNAcentral describes it as "partial 16S ribosomal RNA". It matches the Rfam family "Bacterial small subunit ribosomal RNA", at positions 524 to 776 of the family's 1533-position model. The record is from RNAcentral.